Molecule: long non-coding RNA, 1428 nt
Organism: Megalobrama amblycephala (Wuchang bream)
Lineage: Eukaryota; Metazoa; Chordata; Actinopteri; Cypriniformes; Xenocyprididae
Exons: 2
Source: RefSeq, a predicted model, not a curated record
CCCUGAAUUACAAACUGUUUUUCCCAACUCUGAACGAGCUUCCAUACGACCACGAGACUUUAAUAAUGCAAACACACAGUUUCAAGGACAUCUGAAUGACCAAUGCGCAAGCUAAUUCAAUUGGCACCACGAAGCCAAACUAUUGCGUAACGAGGUAAGCAUGACGGCCAAGAACCCCCUGAAAAAAGUUUGGCAUUGGAGGAAAUUACAAGAAUUUGCUUGGACACGACACAGUCAAGCUUUGUGAGACCACGACUCUUGCAGGCCUAAAUAAAGUGUUGGUGCCAUAACUAGUACUCGGCACUGCGCAACCUGUUGAUUUACCCGCCUUUUCCACACCUUAUUUCAUUCAGUAAGCAAGUACAAUCCCAACACAGAGCUACUUAUCAGCUGAUUUCAUGCACACGUCUUCAAAACACGACUGGGAUGGAUUAAGAUCCACGCCGAGGAGCAAAACAACUUAGUGAUGCGAGCGCUGUUUACUAUUCUCUACUGUGGUUGUUUAGCCACGUUUGUGCGUAAAAACCCAUAAUAACACAUCGCGUUUCAUGCUGUGGGACCACUUUACGCAUGCAUGCUGUCAUAAGAAUGCGCUUAAAUGGACAGUAAACCAAAUGCAUUAGUGGUAAAUGACGUUAAAAACGUUCAAGCGAACGCCUCGUCCAUACAAACACCGAUGUUUCUGGCCUCUACACCCGUCUCAGACGACUUCUACGGGGGUGACUUUGCAAGGAUCUCCCUCCCUGACUCCGGAGCAACCCCUCCCACCAACACCAUGCUCUGCACCCUCUACACCUGAAAGCUCUGCAGGCUUUACUCGCAGUACACCAGCCCUGCACCAAAACAUACACAGGGAUUCACAAAGUGAGAUGGGUUCAAAGGUCAUUGGAGUUUAAGAGAACAUAUUCUAAAGCAACAACACAAACCUUGGGCAUGGAGGAGGGAUCGAAUCGCAGGACUUUCUGGUUGCAGCAGGGGUAAAGACCAAUGCCAUGCCAUCUUUGCUCUGCCCCAAUGCCAGGAUACACAACCGCCUCUGGGUGAUAUUUACACUGGCCCAACUCCGUACACAGGAAUGCCUGCCAUAAGCCAAACAACAUGCACUUUUUUAAUUUGAAUUUAUUAAUUUAGUAACUAACCAAUAUUUAUCUACAUAUACAUACUGUACUAAAAUCUUAAAUUAUUUGUUUACCUGUUUGCAGCGUGAGCAGGCAAGGAAGUUGAUGGUGCCCCAGAUCCUCCAGUAAACUAGUAUCCAGGACUUCAACUCUUCAUAAAGCCCAUUCACAUACUCAUGUACCUCCCAGGCCUUAUGUCUACACAGAUACAUCACAGUUACCAACAUGUCAUCUCAUAUGUGUAUGUAUAAGACUGAAAUAUCAAUACACUUGGUGUGUAUGUGAUUGAAAUACAGAGUGCCUCAUAUAA